Molecule: unclassified non-coding RNA, 274 nt
Filed under: Hevea brasiliensis (rubber tree)
Lineage: Eukaryota; Viridiplantae; Streptophyta; Magnoliopsida; Malpighiales; Euphorbiaceae
Source: RNAcentral
GGUUUAUUAACUUGGAUGCUUUUGUUACUUCAUUUCUGAACAUGAUAUUACUAGUUUAUUGUUAUUUUCAACUCUCUUCCACUCCCAGCCUCCCUCCCUUGAUCUGUGUGUCUCUCCCUCCACACACAUGAAGCCAAUACCAGAUAUAGGUGUUUGCCCAUCCACCCUACCAAUUUAGGCCAGUGGUGUAUGAUGAUUGUGAAACAAAGCCAUAUUUAUUGAGUUUUGUCUUGCCCCAAACUCAUGCAGCACUUCUUUUGUCCUUGUGCUGCAU